Molecule: transfer-messenger RNA, 373 nt
Filed under: Candidatus Nanopelagicales
Lineage: Bacteria; Bacillati; Actinomycetota; Actinomycetes
Description: AcAMD-5 sp002293025 Standard tmRNA
Rfam family: transfer-messenger RNA
About the family: Bacterial tmRNA, also known as 10Sa RNA or SsrA, is named for its dual tRNA and mRNA-like properties. Its role is to liberate the mRNA from a stalled ribosome. To accomplish this part of the tmRNA is used as a reading frame that ends in a translation stop signal.
Source: RNAcentral
GGGGGUGAACGGCUUCGACAUCGCUCAUGAUGACAGUUGAAGCGGGCAGAGAAUCUUCGGUUAUCUCUUAAACAUUCCGUUGAAAAAAUAAAUGCUGAUCAAAAGGCAAACGAUUUCGCCCUUGCUGCUUAAUUGCCAGUAAGCCCGAAUCCGUCGGCUCAGGGCCGCUUCCUUCCUGAUGUCCGGCGUCGCUGCGGAAGCUAACAAAGUGCAGGGGUUACGACUGCGCAAUGGAAAAUUAACGUAACUUGAGCCAUGUUCUGCGACGGGCCACGAGAUGCGCAGAGGCUAACUACAUAACAUUGUGGCUGCGCCCGGAGAAUGCCUGAGGUUAUGACGUUGGACGCGGGUUCAAUUCCCGCCACCUCCACUU